RNAcentral lists this long non-coding RNA (957 nucleotides) under Brassica rapa (field mustard). RNAcentral's name for it is "long non-coding RNA (BRAP_LNC000194)". The record is from RNAcentral. Lineage: Eukaryota; Viridiplantae; Streptophyta; Magnoliopsida; Brassicales; Brassicaceae.
UCAUAAUCUCACACCAGACUAUGACUCUAGCCUCAAGAUAGAUCACCUUGCUUCUGCACAUGGUUUCACAAACCAGAAACCAACAGAUCCGAUUGGAUCUUCCCCUGUGAACGUUCUUUCCUCCGCUUCCGACGUCGUCUUCGUCUACCACAAGCGAACAUCACUUUCUUCUUCCUUUGAUGCUGACGCUGCAUAAUGAACGACAUCAGCUCUGAUUCGUCACACUUGAUAUGAGAGCGAUGCGAUCUCGAGACUACAGAAACUCUGAUUCUUCUUCUUCAGAAUCGAUCAAGAUUCGUUACCGAUGAAUCCUUGAAUCGCCAUAACCAGCGCUCUGAUACCACUUGUUGAGGAUUCUAUCGGUUUCCUGCAAGCUUCAAUGUAUCUCAAAUCGCAAAUCUAGCGGAAACAAUCAAUCGCAGUGUGGAAACGAAUCAAGCGAGAAAGUAAACGACACAAGAGUUUUGGUAACCCGGUGUUCACCGCACUCCUCCGAUGUGGAGAAGCCGCUAUACUCACCGGAGAGAGAAUUAGGUCUCUCAACCUUUCCAAUAGAUGAAACUGAGAAGUGUACAAUCACAGGAGACCUUCUUCCUCUCUAUCUCUGUUACAAUCACCUAGAGAUGAGGUAUGAUUUAGGAAGAAGAAACAAGAAGAUGAGUUUAGCUAGAUACACAGAGAAACUCCUUCCCUCACUAGCUCUCUCUCACUCACGAUCUCUCUCUCUCUCUGUCUCGAGCUCUCUCUCUCCCGAGCACGAGCUCUUUCUCUGCUCACCGUUCUGUUACAGACCUCGACGUCGUAACCGUAUCUUCUCCGUCUCGUGAAGAUGACGAUGACUUGAUCUAGCUCAGAAAAAAUAUCUUCAGCUUAAGUGGUUAAUGACUCUCUUAACCCCACUUGAACUUAGCCAAAGCAUGCCCAACUCACGUGCCUUUCAUAAGACCAACAUUAGCU